AGGAAAAAAUAAAAUUAUCAUCUUCAGUUUU
Molecule: unclassified non-coding RNA, 31 nt
Filed under: North American grapevine yellows phytoplasma
Lineage: Bacteria; Bacillati; Mycoplasmatota; Mollicutes; Acholeplasmatales; Acholeplasmataceae
Description: partial 16S-23S ribosomal RNA intergenic spacer
Source: RNAcentral